RNAcentral lists this ribosomal RNA (311 nucleotides) under Cryptochiton stelleri (gumboot chiton). Its description in RNAcentral is "eukaryotic LSU rRNA". It matches the Rfam family "Eukaryotic large subunit ribosomal RNA", at positions 666 to 946 of the family's 3401-position model. The record is from RNAcentral. Lineage: Eukaryota; Metazoa; Mollusca; Polyplacophora; Chitonida; Mopaliidae.
CCAAGGAGUCUAACAUGUGCGCGAGUCAUUGGGUCUCACGAAACCUAAAGGCGCAAUGAAAGUGAAGGCAGCCUCGGGUUUGCCUAGGUAGGAUCCUUUUUCCGUCUGCGGAGGAGGCGCACUACCGGCCCGUCUCGUCCGCGUUGCGGUGAGGCGGAGCGAGAGCGUACACGUUGGGACCCGAAAGAUGGUGAACUAUGCCUGAGUAGGACGAAGCCAGAGGAAACUCUGGUGGAAGUCCGUAGCGAUUCUGACGUGCAAAUCGAUCGUCGAACUUGGGUAUAGGGGCGAAAGACUAAUCGAACCGUCUA